This 487-nucleotide ribosomal RNA is filed under the name Filifactor sp. canine oral taxon 164. Its description in RNAcentral is "bacterial SSU rRNA". It matches the Rfam family "Bacterial small subunit ribosomal RNA", at positions 9 to 451 of the family's 1533-position model. Lineage: Bacteria; Bacillati; Bacillota; Clostridia; Peptostreptococcales; Filifactoraceae. The record is from RNAcentral.
GAGUUUGAUUCUGGCUCAGGAUGAACGCUGGCGGCGUGCUUAACACAUGCAAGUCGAACGAUCCAGCACUCAACUACCAACUACAUUUUCAAGAAGAAACGAAAGUGUGGUUAGUAGUUGAGUGCUGGAGAGUGGCGGACGGGUGCGUAACGUGUGGGUAAUCUGCCUUUGUCAUGGGAAUAACUGCUUGAAAGAGCAGCUAAUACCGAAUAACAUAUGCAAUAGGCAUCUAUUGGAUAUCAAAGAGAAAUCGGACAAAGAUGAGCCCGCAUCUGAUUAGCUGGUUGGUAGGGUAACAGCCUACCAAGGCAACGAUCAGUAGCCGACCUGAGAGGGUGAACGGCCACAUUGGAACUGAGACACGGUCCAAACUCCUACGGGAGGCAGCAGUGGGGAAUAUUGCACAAUGGGGGGAACCCUGAUGCAGCAACGCCGCGUGAGUGAAGAAGGCUUUCGAGUCGUAAAACUCUGUUGUAAGGGAAGAUAA